UGUAAUAUACGAAAAAUUUUAGGUUGCGAUGCUAACUUUGAUUUGGAAGAUUAAAGUGAAGUUUGAAUUGGAUGUGCAUCAUUCAAGAGUGUUUCUGGACGUGUGGGAAUGAUUUCUGAAGGUAAUUAAGUAUUCGGGCACAAAUCGGGCGCGAAAUGAACUUGAAAGGAGAUUUUCGGAUUAUGACGUUAACUUUGACCUACGCGAUCAAAGUGAGGUAUGAAUGUUAAUUGUACUAUCUCCGAAUUAUUUUGGAAGUGCGAGGAUAGUUAAUGGUAAAUUCGGAGAUGCUUGGAUGUAAUAUGUUGGAUUUUUGGUUACGUUGCUAAUCUUGAUCAAAUUGAUCAAGAUAAUGCCAAAAUGAAGUUAGCUUACUUCCGAGCUUAAUUAGUAGCUUCGGCAUAGUGUUUAGUAUGUUUUGGAAGUGUUUGAA
RNAcentral lists this long non-coding RNA (433 nucleotides) under Ananas comosus (pineapple). Its description in RNAcentral is "long non-coding RNA (ACOM_LNC030222)". Lineage: Eukaryota; Viridiplantae; Streptophyta; Magnoliopsida; Poales; Bromeliaceae. The record is from RNAcentral.